GACGAACGCUGGCGGCGUGCUUAACACAUGCAAGUCGAACGGAAAGGCCCUGCUUUUGUGGGGUGCUCGAGUGGCGAACGGGUGAGUAACACGUGAGUAACCUGCCCUUGACUUUGGGAUAACUUCAGGAAACUGGGGCUAAUACCGGAUAGGAGCUCCUGCUGCAUGGUGGGGGUGGGAAAGUUCGGCGGUUGGGGAUGGACUCGCGGCUUAUCAGCUUGUUGGUGGGGGAGUGGCUUACCAAGGCUUUGACGGGUAGCCGGCCUGAGAGGGUGACCGGCCACAUUGGGACUGAGAUACGGCCCAGACUCCUACGGGAGGCAGCAGUGGGGAAUAUUGCACAAUGGGCGGAAGCCUGAUGCAGCAACGCCGCGUGCGGGAUGACGGCCUUCGGGUUGUAAACCGCUUUCGCCUGUGACGAAGCGUGAGUGACGGUAAUGGGUAAAGAAGCACCGGCUAACUACGUG
RNAcentral lists this ribosomal RNA (467 nucleotides) under uncultured bacterium. RNAcentral describes it as "partial 16S ribosomal RNA". It matches the Rfam family "Bacterial small subunit ribosomal RNA", at positions 28 to 507 of the family's 1533-position model. The record is from RNAcentral.